Molecule: ribosomal RNA, 2112 nt
Filed under: Salmonella enterica
Lineage: Bacteria; Pseudomonadati; Pseudomonadota; Gammaproteobacteria; Enterobacterales; Enterobacteriaceae
Also listed under: 2 other names
Description: partial 23S ribosomal RNA
Rfam family: Bacterial large subunit ribosomal RNA
Source: RNAcentral
AGACCCGAAACCCGGUGAUCUAGCCAUGGGCAGGUUGAAGGUUGGGUAACACUAACUGGAGGACCGAACCGACUAAUGUUGAAAAAUUAGCGGAUGACCUGUGGCUGGGGGUGAAAGGCCAAUCAAACCGGGAGAUAGCUGGUUCUCCCCGAAAGCUAUUUAGGUAGCGCCUCGUGAAUUCAUCUCCGGGGGUAGAGCACUGUUUCGGCUAGGGGGCCAUCCCGGCUUACCAACCCGAUGCAAACUGCGAAUACCGGAGAAUGUUAUCACGGGAGACACACGGCGGGUGCUAACGUCCGUCGUGAAGAGGGAAACAACCCAGACCGCCAGCUAAGGUCCCAAAGUCAUGGUUAAGUGGGAAACGAUGUGGGAAGGCCCAGACAGCCAGGAUGUUGGCUUAGAAGCAGCCAUCAUUUAAAGAAAGCGUAAUAGCUCACUGGUCGAGUCGGCCUGCGCGGAAGAUGUAACGGGGCUAAACCAUGCACCGAAGCUGCGGCAGCGACGCUGAUGCGUUGUUGGGUAGGGGAGCGUUCUGUAAGCCUGCGAAGGUGGCCUGUGAGGGUUGCUGGAGGUAUCAGAAGUGCGAAUGCUGACAUAAGUAACGAUAAAGCGGGUGAAAAGCCCGCUCGCCGGAAGACCAAGGGUUCCUGUCCAACGUUAAUCGGGGCAGGGUGAGUCGACCCCUAAGGCGAGGCCGAAAGGCGUAGUCGAUGGGAAACGGGUUAAUAUUCCCGUACUUGGUGUUACUGCGAAGGGGGGACGGAGAAGGCUAUGUUGGCCGGGCGACGGUUGUCCCGGUUUAAGCGUGUAGGUGUGUGUUCCAGGUAAAUCCGGUUCACUUUAACACUGAGGCGUGAUGACGAGGCACUACGGUGCUGAAGCAACAAAUGCCCUGCUUCCAGGAAAAGCCUCUAAGCAUCAGGUAACAUCAAAUCGUACCCCAAACCGACACAGGUGGUCAGGUAGAGAAUACCAAGGCGCUUGAGAGAACUCGGGUGAAGGAACUAGGCAAAAUGGUGCCGUAACUUCGGGAGAAGGCACGCUGACACGUAGGUGAAGUGAUUUACUCAUGGAGCUGAAGUCAGUCGAAGAUACCAGCUGGCUGCAACUGUUUAUUAAAAACACAGCACUGUGCAAACACGAAAGUGGACGUAUACGGUGUGACGCCUGCCCGGUGCCGGAAGGUUAAUUGAUGGGGUCAGCGCAAGCGAAGCUCCUGAUCGAAGCCCCGGUAAACGGCGGCCGUAACUAUAACGGUCCUAAGGUAGCGAAAUUCCUUGUCGGGUAAGUUCCGACCUGCACGAAUGGCGUAAUGAUGGCCAGGCUGUCUCCACCCGAGACUCAGUGAAAUUGAACUCGCUGUGAAGAUGCAGUGUACCCGCGGCAAGACGGAAAGACCCCGUGAACCUUUACUAUAGCUUGACACUGAACAUUGAGCCUUGAUGUGUAGGAUAGGUGGGAGGCUUUGAAGUGUGGACGCCAGUCUGCAUGGAGCCGACCUUGAAAUACCACCCUUUAAUGUUUGAUGUUCUAACGUGGACCCGUGAUCCGGGUUGCGGACAGUGUCUGGUGGGUAGUUUGACUGGGGCGGUCUCCUCCUAAAGAGUAACGGAGGAGCACGAAGGUUGGCUAAUCCUGGUCGGACAUCAGGAGGUUAGUGCAAUGGCAUAAGCCAGCUUGACUGCGAGCGUGACGGCGCGAGCAGGUGCGAAAGCAGGUCAUAGUGAUCCGGUGGUUCUGAAUGGAAGGGCCAUCGCUCAACGGAUAAAAGGUACUCCGGGGAUAACAGGCUGAUACCGCCCAAGAGUUCAUAUCGACGGCGGUGUUUGGCACCUCGAUGUCGGCUCAUCACAUCCUGGGGCUGAAGUAGGUCCCAAGGGUAUGGCUGUUCGCCAUUUAAAGUGGUACGCGAGCUGGGUUUAGAACGUCGUGAGACAGUUCGGUCCCUAUCUGCCGUGGGCGCUGGAGAACUGAGGGGGGCUGCUCCUAGUACGAGAGGACCGGAGUGGACGCAUCACUGGUGUUCGGGUUGUCAUGCCAAUGGCACUGCCCGGUAGCUAAAUGCGGAAGAGAUAAGUGCUGAAAGCAUCUAAGCACGAAACUUGCCCCGAG